GAUGAACGCUGGCGGCGUGCUUAACACAUGCAAGUCGAACGGAAAGGCCCAAGCUUGCUUGGGUACUCGAGUGGCGAACGGGUGUGUAACACGUGGGUGAUCUGCCCUGCACUUCGGGAUAAGCCUGGGAAACUGGGUCUAAUACCGGAUAGGACGAUGGUUUGGAUGCCAUUGUGGAAAGUUUUUUCGGUGUGGGAUGAGCUCGCGGCCUAUCAGCUUGUUGGUGGGGUAAUGGCCUACCAAGGCGUCGACGGGUAGCCGGCCUGAGAGGGUGUACGGCCACAUUGGGACUGAGAUACGGCCCAGACUCCUACGGGAGGCAGCAGUGGGGAAUAUUGCACAAUGGGCGCAAGCCUGAUGCAGCGACGCCGCGUGGGGGAUGACGGCCUUCGGGUUGUAAACUCCUUUCGCUAGGGACGAAGCGUUUUUGUGACGGUACCUGGAGAAGAAGCACCGGCUAACUACGUG
RNAcentral lists this ribosomal RNA (468 nucleotides) under uncultured bacterium. RNAcentral's name for it is "partial 16S ribosomal RNA". It matches the Rfam family "Bacterial small subunit ribosomal RNA", at positions 28 to 507 of the family's 1533-position model. The record is from RNAcentral.